This 283-nucleotide ribosomal RNA is filed under the name Salmonella enterica subsp. enterica serovar Thompson. RNAcentral's name for it is "partial 23S ribosomal RNA". It matches the Rfam family "Bacterial large subunit ribosomal RNA", at positions 1166 to 1447 of the family's 2925-position model. The record is from RNAcentral. Lineage: Bacteria; Pseudomonadati; Pseudomonadota; Gammaproteobacteria; Enterobacterales; Enterobacteriaceae.
GAAGAUGUAACGGGGCUAAACCAUGCACCGAAGCUGCGGCAGCGACACUCAGGUGUUGUUGGGUAGGGGAGCGUUCUGUAAGCCUGUGAAGGUGUGUCGUGAGGCAUGCUGGAGGUAUCAGAAGUGCGAAUGCUGACAUAAGUAACGAUAAAGCGGGUGAAAAGCCCGCUCGCCGGAAGACCAAGGGUUCCUGUCCAACGUUAAUCGGGGCAGGGUGAGUCGACCCCUAAGGCGAGGCCGAAAGGCGUAGUCGAUGGGAAACGGGUUAAUAUUCCCGUACUUG